CUGGUGCGCGAGGACGACGACGCCCAGCGCCCCGACCCAUCGUGCCUCGUGGGCCGGCCCAUCUCCGCCGGGCCCAGAUCCAAGGCCAGCCUACCUCCUCCGCUUCCUGGGCCAGGCCCGCUAGGUGAGCGCCCGCCUAAACCUCGCCCUGAGCGUCUUUUAGUGAUCCCACGCUCAUGUGAUAUUCUGCUAAGUCCCCUAGAUUUUAGUAUUUUUGAGCAUAUUCAUCGCAUGAUAACUUCAUCAUUGUGGCUCCGUUUCGGGCGUGUAGCAUAUUAAAAUGUUCAUCUCAACGAAUACAUCAUUUCAUCUCAUGGCAUCAUUUUCAUUUGAGCUCAUCUUGAUGCCCGAAAUGCUGUUGGAAGAGGGUUAUGUGAUGAUAGUUUCAGAUUUGUUUCAACAUUUGCAUUUUUGUCAUUUUUACCAUGAUUAAUGUGUGCAUGCUAUGAUCCUGAGCUCUACAUGUGUUUUGAAGUAUGCCAUGCCAUCUUUACAGGGGUAUAUGCCAUGUAUUUUUGUGAUCUCUGUGGUGACUAGAACAAGCAUGCAAAGUAGCUUACUCAAUGAUGCUGAUUUCAGGGACUUAGAAUUUCACUAAGUCCUUGUCCUGCUGUAAUUUUUAUGCCAUGUGUUCAUGUUGUUUCCUAGUGAUCCGUGCCUCUUUUGAGCAUGAUCAGUAAGGAUGUUUUGUAGAUAAUGUUAUGCUCUAUCCAUCCAUGUCUUUGUUUGCAAUUAUGGAGCACCCUAGCUUGAGUCAAUCGAGCUCUACUUUUGCUAUAAAAUGUUCCUGGCAGAUUGUUAACAUGUUUAGCGAUUUCGCCGAGCUUGUUGUUGUUGAUCCGUGCAUGCUAUGUUGUUGUUCUUGCCAUGUAUAGCUUCUAUGCCAUGUCUACUUACUGGGUGUAUGCUUAGAUUAUCAUGCCUUGCCUUGUGGUGAGUGCAUCGAGCUCGUAAACAUGCCUACUUGAUAUCUGUUUUGCCAUGUUCUAGUUUUCUGCUAAGUCUGAAUCUGUUAUCGAUAUUUGCUAUGUUCGCGUGCUUGCAAUUGUAUUUUCUGAUCCCUUUUGGCCCAUGGUCACUAAGGGAAUUUUGUUGUAUGCUUUGAGUAGCUUCAUGCCAUACCUUGCCUUGCCAUGACAUGAUCCUGUAGCAUGUAGUUAUCGUGCUCUAAACAUUGCUUCCUGAUGAUAAUUCCUGACUUGCUGUUAACUUGACUGAGUCUGAAACCCGUAAUCUUUUGCACUUUUGCCAUGCUUAUUUGAACCUGCUAUUGAGUGAAUUAGCCUUAGCUCAGUGUUAAUCUUUUGUCAAGCAUCUUGAAUGGAUCCCUGCCAUGUAUUUUGUUGCUAUGUUAGAGUGAUGUAGCAUGUUGUUCUUGGUGCAUUUAGAUGGUCUCGUGCUGAUUAUCGCAGACCAGUGCCAUAUUUGUUUUGCUUGCCAUUUCCAAACCGUGCAUCCGAUUCCGGUGAUCUUUAUAUCGAGUUCGACCGAAAUCACCUCACCUUUCCAGUGAGACUCUUGGAUUUCCAAGUUGAGUCCAGGUUCAAUCAUUCCUUUCCAAAUCAUGCAUAUGCAUCACAUAUCGCAUCCCGCAUAUCAUACCAUGUUUGCAUCAUGUCGCUUGAGCAUUGCACGUGGUUGAUUGUGUUCCCUUUUUCUUGUUGUCUUGUUUUGGGUAGAGCUGGGAGACGAGUACGUGAUCGAAGAUCCCGUUGAGUACGAUUACGAGGAUCAAGGCAACUCUAAGAACUUUGUAGGCAAGAUGACCAUACCCUCGAAAUCACUUCUAUCUUUGCUUGCUAGAUGCUCGCUCUUUUGCUAUGCCUAUGCUGCGAUACCUACCACUUGCUUAUCAUGCAUCCCAUAUUGUUAAGCCGAGCCUCUAACCCACCUUGUCCUAGCAAACCGUUGUUUGGCUAUGUUAUCGCUUUGCUCAGCCCCUCUUAUAGCUUUGUCAGUUGCAGGUGAAGACUGGAGUUUGUUCCUUGUUGGAACGUGGAUAUUUUGUUGGGAUAUCACAAGAUCUCUUAUUUAAUUAAUGCAUCUAUAUACUUGGUAAAGGGUGGAAGGCUCGGCCUUAUGCCUGGUGUUUUGUUCCACUCUUGCCACCCUAGUUUCCGUCAUAUCGGUGUUAUGUUCCCGGAUUUUGCGUUCCUUACACGGUCGGGUUAUAAUGGGAACCCCUUGACAGUUUGCUUUGAAUAAAACUCCUCCAGCAAGGCCCAACCUUGAUUUUACCAUUUGCACUAACAACCUAUUACCCCUUCCCUUGGGUCGGCCAACCCAAGGGUCAUCUUUAUUUUAACCGCCCCCCCCCCCGGGCCAGUGCUUGUCUAAGUGUUGGUCCGAAAUGGGUAGCCUGCGGGGCCACCUCGGGGAAAAUUGAGGGCUGGUUUUACUCGUAGCUUGACCUAUCCGGUGUUGCCCUGAGAACGAGAUAUGUGUAGCUCCCAUCAGGAUGUCGGCGCAUCGGGCGGCUUUGCUGGACUUGUUUUACCAUUGUCGAGAUGUCUUGUAACCGGGAUGCCGAGUCUGAUCGGAUUGUCUUGGGAGAAGAAAUAUCCUUCGUUGACCGUGAGAGCUUGUGAUGGGCUAAGUUGGGACACCCCUGCAGCGAUUGAACUUUCGAAAGCCAUGCCCGCGGUUAUGGGCAGAUGGGAAUUUGUUAAUGUCCGGUUGUAGAAAACCUAAACCCUAACAUAAAUAAAACGCAUCAACCGCGUGUGUAGCCGUGAUGGUCUCUUCUCGGCGGGGUCCGGCAAGUGAACACGGUGUUGGAGUAAUGUUUGACAUAGGUUGUUCUAGGAUCACUUAUUGAUCAUAGUUCAUCGAUCAUGCUUUGCCUUAUCUUCUCGCUCUCUUUUGCGUAAGUUAGCCACCACAUAUGCUAGUCGCUUGCUGCAGCUCCACCUCAUAUCUUUUACCCUACCUAUAAGAUUAAAUAGUCUUGAUCGUGAGAUUGCUGAGUCCCCAUGACUCACAGAUACUUCCAAAACCAGUUUGCAGGUGCCGAUGUUACUGAGCAGGUGGCGCAACCAAGCUCAAGGAGGAGCUCGAUGAAGAUCUUGUCCUUUGUGUUGUUUCGUUCUAGUUGAUCAGUAGUGGAGCCCAGUUGGGGUCGAUCGGGGAUCUAUGUAGCAUUUUGGGUAGUCUUCGUUUUAUUUUGGUUUCAUAGUCGGACCUUGUUUGUAUCUGGAUGAUGUAAUGAUUUAUUCAUAUAUUGUGUGAAGUGGCGAUUGUAAGCCAACUAUGUAUCUUUCUCCCUUAUGUAUUACAUGGGUUGUGUGAAG
Molecule: long non-coding RNA, 3290 nt
Filed under: Triticum aestivum (bread wheat)
Lineage: Eukaryota; Viridiplantae; Streptophyta; Magnoliopsida; Poales; Poaceae
Description: long non-coding RNA (TAES_LNC006155)
Source: RNAcentral